This 858-nucleotide ribosomal RNA is filed under the name uncultured bacterium. RNAcentral's name for it is "bacterial SSU rRNA". It matches the Rfam family "Bacterial small subunit ribosomal RNA", at positions 8 to 857 of the family's 1533-position model. The record is from RNAcentral.
AGAGUUUGAUCCUGGCUCAGAUUGAACGCUGGCGGCAGGCCUAACACAUGCAAGUCGAGCGGCAGCACGGGAAGCUUGCUUCCUGGUGGCGAGCGGCGGACGGGUGAGUAAUGCAUAGAAAUCUGCCCGGUAGUGGGGGAUAACCUGGGGAAACCCAGGCUAAUACCGCAUACGUCCUACGGGAGAAAGCAGGGGAUCUUCGGACCUUGCGCUAUCGGAUGAGUCUAUGUCGGAUUAGCUUGUUGGUGAGGUAAUGGCUCACCAAGGCGACGAUCCGUAGCUGGUCUGAGAGGAUGAUCAGCCACAUCGGGACUGAGACACGGCCCGAACUCCUACGGGAGGCAGCAGUGGGGAAUAUUGGACAAUGGGCGAAAGCCUGAUCCAGCCAUGCCGCGUGUGUGAAGAAGGCCUUCGGGUUGUAAAGCACUUUCAGUGGGGAAGAAAGCUUUGGGGCUAAUACCCUCGAGGAAGGACAUCACCCACAGAAGAAGCACCGGCUAACUCCGUGCCAGCAGCCGCGGUAAUACGGAGGGUGCGAGCGUUAAUCGGAAUUACUGGGCGUAAAGCGCGCGUAGGCGGUCUGAUAAGCCGGUUGUGAAAGCCCCGGGCUCAACCUGGGAACGGCAUCCGGAACUGUCAGGCUAGUGUGCAGGAGAGGAAGGUAGAAUUCCCGGUGUAGCGGUGAAAUGCGUAGAGAUCGGGAGGAAUACCAGUGGCGAAGGCGGCCUUCUGGACUGACACUGACGCUGAGGUGCGAAAGCGUGGGUAGCAAACAGGUUUAGAUACCCUGGUAGUCCACGCCGUAAACGAUGUCGACUAGCCGUUGGGCUCCUUGAGAGCUUUGUGGCGCAGUUAACG